AGUGAACGCUGGCGGUAGGCCUAACACAUGCAAGUCGAACGGCAGCACAGUAAGAGCUUGCUCUUACGGGUGGCGAGUGGCGGACGGGUGAGGAAUACAUCGGAAUCUACUUUUUCGUGGGGGAUAACGAAGGGAAACUUACGCUAAUACCGCAUACGACCUACGGGUGAAAGCAGGGGAUCUUCGGACCUUGCGGGAUUGAAUGAGCCGAUGUCGGAUUAGCUAGUUGGCGGGGUAAAGGCCCACCAAGGCGACGAUCCGUAGCUGGUCUGAGAGGAUGAUCAGCCACACUGGAACUGAGACACGGUCCAGACUCCUACGGGAGGCAGCAGUGGGGAAUAUUGGACAAUGGGCGCAAGCCUGAUCCAGCCAUACCGCGUGGGUGAAGAAGGCCUUCGGGUUGUAAAGCCCUUUUGUUGGGAAAGAAAAGCAGCAGGUUAAUACCCCGCUGUUCUGACGGUACCCAAAGAAUAAGCACCGGCUAACUUCGUG
Molecule: ribosomal RNA, 492 nt
Filed under: uncultured bacterium
Lineage: Bacteria
Description: partial 16S ribosomal RNA
Rfam family: Bacterial small subunit ribosomal RNA
Source: RNAcentral